UGUGCCAGUCUUCCUCCACUUUGUAUAUGGGUCACCGACACAGCAUGGCUGAUGAGUGGUGUAGGUCCAUGUCCAGGAUCUGAACUUGCAAACCCGGGCUGAACUUAGCCAACUAGGCCGCUGGGGCUGGCCCUGUAAAUUAUCUUUUGACUUUGUGUAGGGUUUGUUUUGUUUUGCUAUGCAGAUAUUCUUUAUUUCUGUGUAGUUAAAUUUUUCAGUUUUUGUUUUAUUGCCUCUGGAUUUGAGUCAUAGUUAGAGGGUCUUUUUCUACACCAAGGUUCAGGAGCAUUCACUCAUGUUUUCUUCUAGGAAGGAUAUAGUUUCACUGUUUUACAUUUAGAUCACUAAUUCAUUUGAGGUUCAUUUUUGUCUGUGGUGUGAGAUACAGAUCUAGUUUUACCGUUUUCCAAAUGGCUUCCCACUUGUCCUAGCACCAUAUGUUGAAAAGUCCGUCUUUCUCCCAGUGGCUGGAGAUGCCACAUUUCCAUAUACAUUCAGAUUUAUUCCUGGGCUUUUUAUUCUAUCCCACUGGCCUAUUUGUCUGCUUAUCACCAGGACCACUCAGUUUAGUUAUAAAGUCUUUAUGGUAUGUUUUAAUGUCCAGUAGUUGUGGUUUUCCUGGCUAUUCUUGCGUAUUUGUUUUUCCAUGUAACCUUGAGAAUCAACUUGUAUAAGUCUAUGCAAUAGUUUAUUGGUAUUUUUACUGGGAUUAUGUUGAGUUUAUAAAUUAGAGAGAACCAUCAUCCUAUAAUGUUGAGUUAUCCUAUCCAAGAUUAGAGAAUGCCUUUUCAUUUGUUCAUAUCUACUUUUAUGUCUUUCAAGAAUGUAUUAAAUUCUCCUUGUAUAGGUUUUGUGCAAUUCUUAAUAAAUUUAUUCUAGAGGCUGGCCCCAUGGCUGAGUGGUUGAGUUUGUGCGCUCUGUUUCAGCGGCGCAGGGUUUCGCUGGGUCAAAUCCUCAACGCAGACAUGAUACUGCUCAUCAGGCCAUGCUAAGGUGGCAUCCCACAUAGCACAACCAGAAGGACUGACAACUAGAAUACAUAGCUAUGUACUGGGGGACUUUGAGGAGAAGAAAAAGAAGGAGAAAAAAAAAAGAUUGGCAACAGAUGUUAGCUCAGGUGCCAAUCUUAAAAAAAAAAUUUAUUCUAAAACAUUUAAUCUUUAUUGUCAUUAUUUUAAAUGGAGUUUCCUCUAACUACUUACUGUUUUAUAUUGGAAAGCUGUUGAUUUUUCUAUGUUAAUUUUGUAUCCUGCCAUUCAACGGCUUCUUUUAUUGAGUUUUAUCAUUGAUUCUUUGGAGGUUUCCAGAUAUACUUUAUGAUGUCAUCUGCAAAUAGAUAGUUUGACUUCUUCACCCAUUCUUAUGCCUCUCAUUCCUUUCUCUUUUGUAAUGAUGUUAGGUAACAUAAAACCUCUAGGACAGUGGGUGAACAGAAAUGGACAGUGGGCAUCUUUGCCUUGUUCCUGAUCCUAGUGGAAAUGCUACUAGUCCUUCCCCAUUGAAUAAGACACUGGCUUUAGGAUUAAAUUUCUAUGAAGAUCCUGUUAUCUUUUCCUUUGGUUUGUUAAUAUGGUAAAUGACACUGGUGGAUAUCCUGAUACUGAAUCCAUCUUUCAUUUCUCGAAAACAUCCUACUUGGUCAUGGUUAUGCCAAGGGUGUGGUCUGAUGUGGAAUUUACUCUCCCUUUUGUGUACUCAUACCAUUUGGGAAGAACUGCAGGGAAGUAACUGAGCUACACGAUUGCCCGCGUCUUCAGCCGCUUGGAGAUCAAGCACUUCUCCCAGGAGACCGUUCUGCCUGGUUUAAGGGGCUCAGAGUUUGACAUUUUUCAUUUUAAUCUUUAAGUAUCUGUUUUAAGACAUGUUAGAGAACAGUAAAACUAGCAGUCUAAACCCA
Equus caballus (horse) is the source of this 1897-nucleotide long non-coding RNA. RefSeq lists it as uncharacterized. The record is from RefSeq and is a predicted model, not a curated record. Lineage: Eukaryota; Metazoa; Chordata; Mammalia; Perissodactyla; Equidae.